Pecten maximus is the source of this 5083-nucleotide long non-coding RNA. RefSeq lists it as uncharacterized. The transcript has 3 exons. The record is from RefSeq and is a predicted model, not a curated record. Lineage: Eukaryota; Metazoa; Mollusca; Bivalvia; Pectinida; Pectinidae.
GGCGAACACCCGAGGUACACUGUGAUCCGCCGUGUAUGUAUUGUAUACAUGCCUCUAUAAGCUGUGUUGGUGUUUAUUCCCAGGUAUCCGCAUGUAGAUAUCAAGUGUAGACAAAUCUACCUAUUGGAUCAGGAUGUGCUAUCACUAAGUACCGAUUGUUGGCGGUGGACUAUUAUGGCAAGCUCCCCGAUUCUAGCACCAGACUAUCAUGGUUAGACACAUCUCCGGGCUCCUGGUGACAUUGUGGGUGUGUACAGCUAUUGCCAUGCAUUGUCACAACCCAAUCGGUUGUCUCGCCGGCAGGUACCCGGAUUACAAUACUGUGACGGAUUGCAUACUUGGAACUAAUGGUUUAGAGAAAAAUAGUUUCCAUGGUGACUUGGUGUCUCGUGAAGGGAACGAUUGUGUGAACGUGGAACCGGUGAUUCAACCAAAUAACAACAAGUUAACAUCACGAAACAAACUUCAUAGAAAGCUGAGGGGUUCGAAACGUCAGAAAAAGAAGAAAAAACGCAAAUCACGUCGAAAACGACAUCUCUGAUACAAGUGACGAUUUGUUGAUUUGAUCGUUGGAGCCUCGUUGUGUAUUUGAUUUAAACAACACAUUUCUUUGCAAGGUUGUUUACAUGAGAUUGGCCAUAAAUAGCGACGGGUCUAAAUCAUUUAGGAAUAUAUUGAUCGUAUGGAUGUGGACUUACGUGUUUGACAUUCAGUCGAUAUUUUCUGGUGGAAAUAUCAACAAAAUCCAUACAACACACCAGUAAAAUGGAAGUUCCACUAAGUUUAUACCCAUUUACCAAAUUAAGACGAAGAUUGGCGUCAGAGGUUAUGUCGGUGCGGCACGCUACACUCGGCCUACACUAUCUACAUGAGGGUAACAUAUUUGAUCAAACAGUAUCGAGAUUGUCCAAGUCUCGCCAGUAAAAUACGGAACAGUGUUCCUCCAACAGAAAUUUAUUUACGCAUUUUGAACAAAGACAUGCAGACGGUAUUGGGAAUAGUACACAAACACGGACUGUGCACAAAGGAUGGUUUAAACGCAGGAUAAAUUGACUGCUAUUACAUUCCAACAUGGUGAAUGAAUAGUUGGAAAUGCAAUGCGACUAUAUAGCCAUAACAAAUUCGGAUGUCUUUCAUAUUUCAAUAAAUAGCAUGACCCCCACUGUUGACCUCAUCAUUAUGAUGGGAUAUUUGUAACGUUCGGAUUCGCUCUAUAAGAACCCACGUGACAUUGGUCUCUAGAGGUUUCAACCCAAAUGGUAAAUAUAAAUCAGUUGAUAUAACAUUCUAUGUUUAAAUCAUUCGGAAUGUCCAACAGUGUUGUUUUAUAGACAUCAAACUGCUAUCAGUUGGCAUUUAUAUUCAGGAUGAAUACUGAUUGAAAGAAGUUCAAUGUAUAAACCAGCUCCCGAAGAUCAGUUGUCCAUUAGCAGCUUCCACGUAUAUGGUCGUCAAUGAACGUGCUAGAGGGAAUCGAUUUAACACAAUAUACAAUGUCAUUCCGAAUAAGAUUUACUGAGAAAGAAUAAUCAUUUUACUUUCAAUAAACAAUUGUAAUUGUAGAUCAUUGCUUCACUAGACGAUUGUUACUGUACAGUAUUGCUUCACUAGACAAUUGUAAUUGUAGAGUAUUGCUUCACUAGACAAUUGUAAUUGUAGAGUAUUGCUUCACUAGACAAUUUUAAUUGUACAGUAUUGCUUCACUAGAUAAUUGUAAUUGUACAGCAUUGCUUCACUAGACAAUUGUAAUUGUACAGCAUUGCUUCACAAGACAUUUGUAAUUGUACAGCAUUGCUUCACUAGUCACUAGGCAAUUGUAAUUGAACAGCAUUGCUUCACUAGACAAUUGUAAUUGUACAGUAUUGCUUCACUAGACGAUUGUAAUUGUACAGCAUUGCUUCACUAGACAAUUGUAAUUGUACAGUAUUGCUUCACUAGACAAUUGUUACUGUACAGCAUUGCUUCACUAGACGAUUGUAAUUGUACAGUAUUGCUUCACUAGACGAUUGUAAUUAUACAGCAUUGCUUCACUAGACGAUUGUAAUUGUACAGUAUUGCUUCACUAGAUAAUUGUACAGUAUUGCUUCACUAGACGAUUGUAACUGUACAGUAUUGCUGCACUAGACAAUUGUAACUGUACAGCAUUGCUUCACUAGACAAUUGUAAUUGUACAGUAUUGCUGCACUAGACAAUUGUUACUGUACAGUAUUGCUUCACUAGACAAUUGUACAGUAUUGCUUCACUAGACGAUUGUAAUUGUACAGUAUUGCUUCACUAGACAAUUGUAAUUGUACAGUAUUGCUUCACUAGACAAGUGUACAGCAUUGCUUCACUAGACAUUUGUAAUUGUACAGCAUUGCUUCACUAGACAAUUGUAAUUGUACAGCAUUGCUUCACUAGACAAUUGUAAUUGUACAGUAUUGCUUCACUAGACAAUUGUAAUUGUACAGUAUUGCUUCACUAGACAAUUGUAAUUGUACAGUAUUGCUUCACUAGACAAUUGUAAUUGUACAGCAUUGCUUCACUAGACGAUUGUAAUUGUACAGCAUUGCUUCACUAGACAAUUGUAAUUGUACAGUAUUGCUUCACUAGACAAUUGUAAUUGUACAGUAUUGCUUCACUAGACAAUUGUAAUUGUACAGUAUUGCUUCACUAGACAAUUGUAAUUGUACAGUAUUGCUUCACUAGACAAUUGUAAUUGUACAGUAUUGCUUCACUAGACAAUUGUACAGUAUUGCUUCACUAGACAAUUGUAAUUGUACAGUAUUGCUUCACUAGACAAUUGUAAUUGUACAGUCAUUGCUUCACUAGACGAUUGUAAUUGUACAGCAUUGCUUCACUAGACUAAUUGUAAUUGUACAGCAUUGCUUCACUAGACAAUUGUAAUUGUACAGCAUUGCUUCACUAGACAAUUGUUACUGUACAGUAUUGCUUCACUAGACGAUUGUAAUUGUACAGUAUUGCUUCACUAGACAAUUGUAAUUGUACAGCAUUGCUUCACUAGACAAUUGUAAUUGUACAGCAUUGCUUCAUUAGACACUAGACAAUUGUAAUUGUACAGUAUUGCUUCACUAGACAAUUGUAAUUGUACAGCAUUGCUUCACUAGACAAUUGUAAUUGUACAGCAUUGCUUCACUAGACACUAGACAAUUGUAAUUGUACAGCAUUGCUUCACUAGACAAUUGUAAUUGUACAGCAUUGCUUCACUAGACAAUUGUAAUUGUACAGCAUUGCUUCACUAGACAAUUGUAAUUGUACAGUAUUGCUUCACUAGACAAUUGUAAUUGUACAGUAUUGCUUCACUAGACAAUUGUACAGUAUUGCUUCACUAGACAAUUGUAAUUGUACAGCAUUGCUUCACUAGACAAUUGUAAUUGUACAGUAUUGCUUCACUAGACAAUUGUUAUUGUACAGUAUUGCUUCACUAGACGAUUGUUAUUGUACAGCAUUGCUUCACAAGACAAUUGUAAUUGUAAAGCAUUGCUUCACUAGACAAUUGUAAUUGUACAGCACUGCUUCACUAGACAAUUGUAAUUGUAGAUCAUUGCUUCACUAGAGCGAUUGUAAUUGUAAAGCAUUGCUUCACUAGACAAUUGUUAUUGUACAGCAUUGCUUCACAAGACAAUUGUAAUUGUAAAGCAUUGCUUCACUAGACAAUUGUAAUUGUACAGCAUUGCUUCACUAGACAAUUGUAAUUGUAGAUCAUUGCUUCACUAGAGCGAUUGUAAUUGUACAGCAUUGCUUCACUAGACGAUUGUCAUUGUACAGCAUUGCUUCACUAGACAAUUGUAAUUGUACAGUAUUGCUUCACUAGACGAUUGUUACUGUACAGCAUUGCUUCACUAGACAAUUGUAAUUGUACAGCGUUGCAUCACUGAACUCCAAACUUCAACAUGUAAAUGUCAAGGCGGUCAGACAACGGUUUGUACGAAUAAUAAUAAUAAAUGAAUGAAAUAAAAUUUGGAACCAACAUUUUUGAGUCGGUUACAAAUGAUACCGUCAGUUUAAUAUCAGGACUUCCGGCUCAUAUUUUAUCACUUUUGAUAGAAAUCAAACAUUUCAUAAUUGCUCAGGUCCCGAAUUGUAUAUUACUUGCAGAUCAACACAAUGUCACACCGUUUCAUCAACAAGUAGUUGUCACAUCUUACUCUGUCCAUUACACAUGAGUAAAAAACUAAAGUGUCAAGUUUGACAGAGUAGAAAUGGCUUCCUUAAGAUAUCAUGCAGCCACCUUCCAAUAACUGUAAAGUGUGGUCUGCAAUUGUUUUCUUAAAUGAAAUGUAUUGUUUCGGUGAACAAUUUAUCUUUUAGAUUUCUGAUUAUUCGCAUUCAAUAUAUGUAAUUUCACUGUUGUAAUGCUAUCUUGUACCUGGCAAUGAUGUGUGAUUCACUCUAGUGUUAUCUCAGCCUAAGUACAUCUGGAUGUGUGAAAUUAGAAGGGAUUAACACCUGCACGAUGCCAUACUGAAAUCCAUCAUAGCCAAGUACACAUCUUCGCUAGCCAAGUCUCCUGAUUGUGUUACACUCCACGACCGUGAAUCAGAAGCCUUGGCUAUAGCGAAGAUGUGUACACAAAAGAAAGAAUGGAAACCCUGUAGAGUGAUGUUAAAGACAACUUUAUUUAAAAUGCAUAACAUUUUCUGAGCACAGUGAGCUGAAGCAUAUUCAAGCACUCUAAAAGGUCACAACACAAGAACUUGAAACAAAUAAAUAAAUAAAUUCACAUACAGUAUAAAAUUGCUUGCUGCAAAUACUUAGUAAAUUACAUUAUCUAUAAAUUAAAUUAAUUGUACAAAGUGCUUUAGUGAACUUUGUUCAUUUUUAAUUUCAUACAUUUAAUAGUUUCAUGAAAUUACAUUCAUGAAAUUAUAUAUACCUUGUAUCUUCAGGUUUCAUUAGUACAAAGCGUUUUUUAUGUUGAAUUCAUCCAUACAAAGUCAGACAAAAAUUUACCAUAGUACUGUAUGUUUUUGAAGAAACUUAAAUCUGAAUAAUAUUGGCAAACUCAAUAAUAGCAACAUUUGAAAUUAACGAACUUAGUUGGUAACUUGUGUUUUGUUAUAAAAUCCAGAUAGAUAUUAUU